This 205-nucleotide ribosomal RNA is filed under the name Clostridioides difficile. RNAcentral describes it as "partial 23S ribosomal RNA". It matches the Rfam family "Bacterial large subunit ribosomal RNA", at positions 1556 to 1761 of the family's 2925-position model. The record is from RNAcentral. Lineage: Bacteria; Bacillati; Bacillota; Clostridia; Peptostreptococcales; Peptostreptococcaceae.
CUGGGAUGUGAUGGGGAGCGAAAUUUAGUAGCGAAGUAGCUGAUUUCACACUGUCAAGAAAAGUCUCUAUCGAGGUUAAAGGUACCCGUACCGCAAACCGACACAGGGGGGUGAGGAGAGUAUCCUAAGGCCAGCGAGAGAACUGUUGUUAAGGAACUCGGCAAAAUGACCCCGUAACUUAGGGAUAAGGGGUGCCACCAUCAGG